UAGUAUUACAUCCAUCAAGUAUAUGAUAGAUAUAUAUUAUUACCUGAAUGAUGGAUUUUUUUUUAAUGGCUAGAUUAAGUAUAUCAAACAAUUCUACUAUUAUUAGGAACAAUUGAGGAUCAACUCAACUAUUAUUAGGAAAACAAAGUUCCUUAACUAGUAGUAGCUUUAUUUGCCACAACAGAUAGAAAAAUAGAAUGGAAGAGCUUUCAGAAGGGUUUCAAGAGAGGCAUCUUUUACAUUUGCAAGGUAUGUUGAUGCUAUGAUUAACUUCUUAUUUAAACUUUAUAGCAGCUAUUACAUGAAUGAUUGUGGAUGUAGAUACACUUAUUAUUUAAACUGUAAUGAUUCCUGCAUUCAACUCUAUUUCACCUUUGACUAAUCACGUGUUCGAACACCUGAAAUCAAGAAUAAAUCCAUUAUAUUUUUAUUUUGUAGUUUAGGAAUUUUCAUAUGGAUAGCAAUUUGGCAGCAAAUAUUAAGUUAAUUACAUAACUACUUAAUCAGAUAAUAAGAACAUAAGUUAAUAAAUAUGCAAUUAAGCAUCUAAAAAUAUCAAUCAAUCUCACCGGCGAGAAAGGCCUUUUUGAUUACGCUUAGCUCUCUGGUAACAUCCACUAUAUUCAUUCUUUCUUUUGGUGAUUCCAUUGAACAAGCAAGACCAAUCCCAAAAAGUGUAGCUAAAAACUU
Molecule: long non-coding RNA, 690 nt
Filed under: Trifolium pratense (red clover)
Lineage: Eukaryota; Viridiplantae; Streptophyta; Magnoliopsida; Fabales; Fabaceae
Description: long non-coding RNA (TPRA_LNC012612)
Source: RNAcentral